CAUGCCAAUUACCACUUAUAAGAGAGAUAAAGAAUUGGAAAAAAAGCUCAUUGGGUUGGCUAAACAGGCCUUGGCGGAGAAGCUACCAUGUUAUGAAUUUGUGGCCAUUGAGUGGGUAACUGGACAUCGCUGUGCUGGUUGGGUAUAUAAUAUAACGUUUCAAGCUCACGGUGCUGAUGCUCCUGAGGGCAAAAGUUUUCAAGCUCGUGUUUAUGCUGGAAUUGUGGAUGUGCAGGUUAAAUUCUGCCGUCCCAAAGUGGUUAAAACUUAGUUGAACUCGGCUUGGGUCAGUCAUGGAAGGUGGACUAGCAAUGUUAUGUUGCAAUUUUUGAGUGUGAUGGGAGAACUAUAGAAAGCUGUUUGCUUAACUAUGUUAGUGUUUGAUGAUGUUGACAGUCAAACAUGUUCUCUAGCUGAGGGUGAUUUUGAGCUUUUUGAUCUUGUAGUCUGGUCCUGGGAAUAUAAAUAAAGGUUCAGACAUUGUUGAAUUGCUUUUCCAUGAGAGACUUUUCCCAAAAAAACAAUAUGGAAACCUUGUGUAGAUGAAUAUGGAAAGCAUUUGAAUCUCAAUGAGUUGUAUAAAAGUCUAGUUGGAAGUUCCCAAUGAGCUGCAGUGAAAACAGCUAAUCUUUGACUGAAUAAGUGAGAGGUGCAUUGACC
Coffea arabica (coffee) is the source of this 660-nucleotide long non-coding RNA. RefSeq lists it as uncharacterized. The record is from RefSeq and is a predicted model, not a curated record. NCBI's taxonomy places the organism in Eukaryota, Viridiplantae, Streptophyta, Magnoliopsida, Gentianales, Rubiaceae.